GAUCCUACGGGAGGCAGCAGUGGGGAAUAUUGCACAAUGGGCGCAAGCCUGAUGCAGCCAUGCCGCGUGUAUGAAGAAGGCCUUCGGGUUGUAAAGUACUUUCAGCAGUGAGGAAGGUGGGUAUGUUAAUAGCAUAUUCAUUUGACGUUAGCUGCAGAAGAAGCACCGGCUAACUCCGUGCCAGCAGCCGCGGUAAUACGGAGGGUGCGAGCGUUAAUCGGAAUUACUGGGCGUAAAGCGCAUGCAGGUGGUUUGUUAAGUCAGAUGUGAAAGCCCGGGGCUCAACCUCGGAAUUGCAUUUGAAACUGGCAAACUAGAGUACUGUAGAGGGGGUAGAAUUUCAGGUGUAGCGGUGAAAUGCGUAGAGAUCUGAAGGAAUACCGGUGGCGAAGGCGGCCCCCUGGACAGAUACUGACACUCAGAUGCGAAAGCGUGGGGAGCAAACAGGAUUAGAUACCCUGGUAG
Molecule: ribosomal RNA, 465 nt
Filed under: uncultured bacterium
Lineage: Bacteria
Description: bacterial SSU rRNA
Rfam family: Bacterial small subunit ribosomal RNA
Source: RNAcentral